RNAcentral lists this ribosomal RNA (251 nucleotides) under uncultured prokaryote. RNAcentral's name for it is "partial 16S ribosomal RNA". It matches the Rfam family "Bacterial small subunit ribosomal RNA", at positions 524 to 774 of the family's 1533-position model. The record is from RNAcentral.
UACGAAGGGUGCAAACGUUGCUCGGAAUCAUUGGGCGUAAAGCGCACGUAGGCGGCCUGUUAAGUCGGAUGUGAAAUCCCUCGGCUCAACCGAGGACGUGCACCCGAAACUGGCGGGCUCGAGUAUGGAAGAGGGUCGCAGAAUUCCCGGUGUAGAGGUGAAAUUCGUAGAUAUCGGGAGGAAUACCAGUGGCGAAGGCGGCGACCUGGGCCAAUACUGACGCUGAGGUGCGAAAGCGUGGGGAGCAAACA